Molecule: ribosomal RNA, 889 nt
Filed under: uncultured archaeon
Lineage: Archaea
Description: bacterial SSU rRNA
Rfam family: Archaeal small subunit ribosomal RNA
Source: RNAcentral
CGGUUGAUCCUGCCGGACCCGACUGCUAUUUGGGUGAGGAUAAGCCAUGCGAGUUGAAUGGGAUACCUAAAUUUCCCAUGGCAAACUGCUCAGUAACACAUGAUCAACUUACCCUAUAGAGAAAAAUAACCUCGGGAAACUGAGGAUAAUGUUUCAUAGUUGAAUAGGCUUGGAAAAGUUUUUCAAUAAAAGGGAUAAGAAAAUGGGUUUUUAUCCGCCAUAGGAUAGGAUCGUGGUCGAUUAUGGUUGUUGGUGAGGUAAUGGCUCACCAAGCCGAUAAUCGAUAGGGGCCGUGAGAGCGGGUGCCCCGAGAUGGGUACUGAGACAACGACCCAGGCCUUACGAGGCGCAGCAGGCGCGAAAACUCCGCAAUACACGAAAGUGUGACGGGGUUACCCAAAGUGUUCAUUUAUGAACUGUGGUAGGUGAGUAAUGUCCCCUACUAGAAAGGAGAGGGCAAGGCUGGUGCCAGCCGCCCCGGUAAAACCAGCUCUUCAAGUGGUCGGGAUAAUUAUUGGGCUUAAAGUGUCCGUAGCCGGUUUAGUUAGUUCCUGGUAAAAUCGGGUGGCUUAACUAUCUGCAUGCUAGGAAUACUGCUAUACUAAAGGGCGGGAGAGGUCUGAGGUACUACAGGGGGAGGGGUGCAAUCUCAAAAUCCUUGUAGGACCACCACUUGCCAAAGCGUUAGACUUGAACGCGCCUGACGGUGAGGGACGAAAGCCAGGGGAGCGAACCGGAUUAUAUACCCGGGUGGUCCUGGCCGAGAACGAUGCUUACUAGGUGAUGGCACGGCCAUGAGCCGUGUCAGUGCCGUAGGGAAACCGUUAAGUGUGCCGCCUGGGAAGUACGGUCGCAAGGCUAAAACUUAAAGGAAUUGGCGGGGGAGCAC